AGAGUUUGAUCAUGGCUCAGAACGUACGCUGGCGGCACGCCUAACACAUGCAAGUCGAACGCAGUAGCAAUACUGAGUGGCGAACGGGUGAGUAUAAUGUGGGUAUCUGCCUUUUGGUUUGGAAUAACACGAGGAAACUUGUGCUAAUACCGGAUAAGCCCUUACGGGGAAAGUUUUAACGCCGAAAGAUGAGCUCGCACUUGAUUAGCUAGUUGGUAGGGUAAUGGCUUACCAAGGCAACGAUCAAUAGCUGUUCUUAGAGGAAGAUCAGCCACAUUGGGACUGAGACACGGCCCAAACUCCUACGGGAGGCAGCAGUGGGGAAUCUUGCACAAUGGGGGAAACCCUGAUGCAGCGAUGCCGCGUGAGUGAAGAAGGCCCUUGGGUUGUAAAACUCUUUCGUCGGGGAAGAAAAUGACUGUACCCGAAUAAGAAGGUCCGGCUAACUUCGUGCCAGCAGCCGCGGUAAUACGAAGGGACCUAGCGUAGUUCGGAAUUACUGGGCUUAAAGAGCACGUAGGUGGUUAAGAAAGUUGGUGGUGAAAUCCCAAGGCUCAACCUUGGAAUUGCCACCAAAACUUUUUAACUAGAGUAUGAUAGAGGUAAGCGGAAUUUCUAGUGUAGAGGUGAAAUUCGUAGAUAUUAGAAAGAACACCAAUUGCGAAGGCAGCUUACUGGAUCAUUACUGACACUGAGGAGCGAAAGCAUGGGUAGCGAAGAGGAUUAGAUACCCUCGUAGUCCAUGCCGUAAACGAUGUGUGCUAGACGUUGGAAAUUUAUUUUUCAGUGUCGCAGCAAAAGCGUUAAGCACACCGCCUGGGGAGUACGACCGCAAGGUUAAAACUCAAAUGAAUUGACGGGGACCCGCACAAGUAGUGGAGCAUGUGGUUUAAUUCGAAGAUACGCGCAGAACCUUACCAACACUUGACAUGUUUGUCGCGACUCUAAGAGAUUGGAGUCUUCGGUUCGGCCGGACAAAACACAGGUGCUGCAUGGCUGUCGUCAGCUCGUGUCGUGAGAUGUUGGGUUAAGUCCCGCAACGAGCGCAACCCUCACUUUUAGUUGCCAUCAUUAAGUUGGGAACUCUAAAAGAACUGCCAGUGAUAAGCUGGAGGAAGGUGGGGAUGACGUCAAGUCCUCAUGGCCCUUACGUGUUGGGCUACACACGUGCUACAAUGGCACUUACAAUAGGAAGCAAAGAGGCAACUCUAAGCGAAGCCUAAAAAUGUGCCUCAGUUCGGAUUGCACUCUGCAACUCGAGUGCAUGAAGCUGGAAUUACUAGUAAUCGCGGAUCAGCGCGCCGCGGUGAAUACGUUCCCGGGUCUUGUACACACCGCCCGUCACACCAUGGAAGUUGGUUUCACCUUAAGGCAAAUUGUUAACCUUCGGGAUACAUUUGACUACGGUAUGAUCAACAACUGGGGUGAAGUCGUAACAAGGUAGCC
RNAcentral lists this ribosomal RNA (1446 nucleotides) under uncultured bacterium. Its description in RNAcentral is "bacterial SSU rRNA". It matches the Rfam family "Bacterial small subunit ribosomal RNA". The record is from RNAcentral.